RNAcentral lists this transfer RNA (73 nucleotides) under Candidatus Altarchaeota archaeon. RNAcentral describes it as "tRNA-Asp". It matches the Rfam family "tRNA". From Rfam's summary of the family: Transfer RNA (tRNA) molecules are approximately 80 nucleotides in length. The record is from RNAcentral. Lineage: Archaea; Nanobdellati; Candidatus Altarchaeota.
GCCCCGAUAGUGUAGCGGACUAUCAUACAAGACUGUCGAUCUUGUGACUCGGGUUCAAAUCCCGAUCGGGGCG